Molecule: non-coding RNA, 26 nt
Filed under: Homo sapiens (human)
Lineage: Eukaryota; Metazoa; Chordata; Mammalia; Primates; Hominidae
Source: RNAcentral
UAGCAAACCAAUGCAGCCUGGUAGCC